CUGUGUGCGGCUUCGACUACAACCUCCUCUCCGGAGCUCCAGGCCUAAGAAAGUUGGAAGUGCGAAGACGUGAAGAAAAGCGCGAAGCCGUGAAGUGCUACUCAGCAAAGAGUUGUCUGUUCUAUUUGACUGUAAUAUUGUAAUAGCUGGUAUACCUAGGUUGUAAUAGUCUACAGAAAUUGUAGUACACUAAUCUAGUGUCAUUUGACGAGUUUCACAUGUUCUCUUGUUUGGAAUAUUUGAUUAUGAAUGUGAUUUGAUUGUGUGUGA
This is a long non-coding RNA of Triticum dicoccoides, 270 nucleotides long. RefSeq lists it as uncharacterized. The transcript has 2 exons. The record is from RefSeq and is a predicted model, not a curated record. Lineage: Eukaryota; Viridiplantae; Streptophyta; Magnoliopsida; Poales; Poaceae.